AUUGAACGCUGGCUGCAGGCCUAACACAUGCAAGUCGAACGAGUGGCGGACGGGUGAGUAAUGUCUGGGAAACUGCCUGAUGGAGGGGGAUAACUACUGGAAACGGUAGCUAAUACCGCAUACCAUCAGAUGUGCCCAGAUGGGAUUAGCUUGUUGGUGGGGUAACGGCUCACCAAGGCGACGAUCACUAGCUGGUCUGAGAGGAUGACCAUGCGAACUGGACAUUAGACUCGGGCCAGACUCCUACGGGAGGGAGGAGUGGGGAAUAUUGCACGAUGGGCGGAAACCUGAUUCAGCCAUGCCGCGUGUAUGAAGAAGGCCUUCGGGUUUUAAAGUGCUUUCAGCGGGGAGGCGUUACCCGAGGAAGAAGCACGGGAUAACUCCGUGCCAGCCGCCGCGGUAGUAC
Molecule: ribosomal RNA, 406 nt
Filed under: uncultured bacterium
Lineage: Bacteria
Description: partial 16S ribosomal RNA
Rfam family: Bacterial small subunit ribosomal RNA
Source: RNAcentral